UACAGAGGUCUCAAGCGUUGUUCGGAUUCAUUGGGCGUAAAGGGUGCGUAGGUGGCGCCAUAAGUCAGGUGUGAAAUCUCGGGGCUCAACCCCGAAACUGCACUUGAUACUGUGGUGCUGGAGUACUGGAGAGGAGAUUGGAAUUUACGGUGUAGCGGUGGAAUGCGUAGAGAUCCGGAAGAACACCGGUGGCGAAGGCGGUCUGCUGGGCAGUUGCUGACACUGAGGCGCGACAGCGUGGGGAGCAAACAGG
This 253-nucleotide ribosomal RNA is filed under the name uncultured bacterium. RNAcentral describes it as "partial 16S ribosomal RNA". It matches the Rfam family "Bacterial small subunit ribosomal RNA", at positions 524 to 776 of the family's 1533-position model. The record is from RNAcentral.